This is a long non-coding RNA of Daucus carota subsp. sativus, 631 nucleotides long. RefSeq lists it as uncharacterized. The record is from RefSeq and is a predicted model, not a curated record. NCBI's taxonomy places the organism in Eukaryota, Viridiplantae, Streptophyta, Magnoliopsida, Apiales, Apiaceae. The transcript has 3 exons.
GAUUCUAAUAUUCUAUAAUGGCCUGUUUGGGAGCUUGAAUUUCAUUUGAAAUUCUGGAUUUGAGCAAAUGACAUGUUUGGAUACACAAAAAAUUUGGAUUUGAAUUUCAUUUCAAAUCCAGGACAUUCAAAUACUAGUGUAAAGGCUAUCAAUGAGUUUAAAAAGGGAAAGGUUGAAUACAGGGCGGAUAAAACUGGGAUAGUUCACUUGCCUUUCGGGAAGGCUAAUUUUUCAGAGGAAGAUCUUCUUGUAAACUUGCUUGCCGCAGUGAAAUCAGUAGAAUCGAACAAGCCCCCUGGUGCAAAAGGAGUAUACUGGAAAAGUGCACAUGUAUGUUCAUCGAUGGGGCCUUCCAUCAAAUUAAAUAUAAGGGACAUGCUUGAUUUCAAAUUGCCAACUGAUCUUUGAAGGAUGUAAGUAAAGUUUUAGUAUCCUCUGAAGUACACUUCCCUCUUUGGUCUCCGCGUAUGGAGAUUCUAGUUCUUAGAAGAUAGUACAGAGUUGAAGGGAGAGCCUUAAAUUGCCUGUUGUGGUAAAAUAGUUACUCAGAGAUCAUUCCUUAUGUGCCACUUCAACACAAUCUUGUAUUACUGACUGACGCAUUUACGGUUAUAGAAAAUAUUAUAUAUUA